UUUGUUUUUUAAUUAAAAACUAGAAUGAAAGGUUAUACAUUCAAAUUUCUUUAUUAAUUUUUUAAUAAAUAAUUUAUAUUAAAUAUAAAAAUAUAUUUACAAAAAAAAAAGACGACAAGACCCUAUUAAAUUUUACUUAUAGUUUAGCUGGGGAAGCUUUUCAAUUAAAAUUUUUUUAAAAAAUUAAAUAAAUAUCUAAUAAAAUUAAAAUUUUAAUAAAUUACUAUAGGGAUAACAGCAUUAUAUUUUUUAAAAGUUCAUAUUAAAAAAAAUGAUUGUGACCUCGAUGUUGAAUUAUAUUUUCUAUAUUUAAUGCAAUAAUUAUAUAAGUAGAUCUGUUCGAUCUUUAAAAUAUUACAUGAUUUGAGUUCAAACCGGUGUAAACCAGGUUGGUUUCUAUCUUUUUAUAUAUUUUUCUAGUACGAAAGGACAAAAAAAUUUUUAUUUUAAUAAAUUAGCAAAUAAAUGCAUUAGAUUUAGAAUCUAAAUAUAUAUAUAAUU
RNAcentral lists this unclassified non-coding RNA (501 nucleotides) under Anelosimus octavius. RNAcentral describes it as "partial contains 16S ribosomal RNA and tRNA-Leu (trnL)". The stretch from base 106 to 405 matches the Rfam family "Bacterial large subunit ribosomal RNA", at positions 2074 to 2646 of the family's 2925-position model. Lineage: Eukaryota; Metazoa; Arthropoda; Arachnida; Araneae; Theridiidae. The record is from RNAcentral.